Molecule: long non-coding RNA, 606 nt
Filed under: Homo sapiens (human)
Lineage: Eukaryota; Metazoa; Chordata; Mammalia; Primates; Hominidae
Description: non-protein coding lnc-RHOB-20:1
Source: RNAcentral
CCCAAAUAGCACUGGCAAUCUAUGCGCCACAUGCGGCCACAGGCUUUGGAGAAAGCAAAGGAAAAACGCUGAUGAAAUGUGGCACGGGCCCAUGGAAUGCAAUGUCAAAGUUUCACAUCUGCAGGAAAAGAAAGAGAGUUCCUAAUUUUACAGUGAUGAUGUCAUUGAGAAUUCAUGACAGUGGAAAUGAUGGGCCAAGGUUUGCAAACUUAACCACUCAGGAGGUUGCUAACUAAAGGCUGAGCUUUUCAAGGGACAGUGUGGAUUUGUGUGGAACACUGAUUUGCCUUCCUGACCUGAGCAGUCAUAGUGUCUGUGUGUGUGUGUGUGUGUAUGCAUGUGUGUGCACACACAUUUGCGCACAGGCUCUGGAGAGACAUGGGGAGAGGAAAAGAACUUGUAUCAAGUCAUCUUUUUAUUUAUUGAAAGCCUGGCUCUGUGAGGGGACAAGCUUCAGGUGAGCCAGAGAGAAAUCAGGAAAAGCAUGCCCCCUGCCCUCCUGGAGUUUGUAGUUCAGCCCCCCAACCCUCCCUGACCAGCAAAUGCAAUGGGCAUUUGGCAAGCUUGUCAACAUGUCAUCACCUGCUGAUGUGGUGCAGUAGCCUU